Ahaetulla prasina is the source of this 475-nucleotide non-coding RNA. The record is from the annotation of a RefSeq genome assembly. Lineage: Eukaryota; Metazoa; Chordata; Lepidosauria; Squamata; Colubridae.
AUUUCUUUCUAUCAGCAAAGGGAAAAUAGGGUAGAAAAUGAUUCAGUUUCUUCUGUGUUUAUCCCUUUUCCAAGGCGUGCAAUUAGUCAAAUUGGAGGAGUCUGGAGGAGCUACGAGAAAACCUGGAGAGUCCCUCCAUCUCUCCUGCCAAGCCUCUGGAUUCACCUUCAGCAGCUACUGGAUGGAGUGGGUGAGACAGGCUCCAGGGAAAGGACUGGAAUGGGUGGCCCGCAUCAGUACAGGCUCAUCUAACACUUACUACCCAAAUAACGUGAAGGGACGCUUCAUCAUCUCCAGAGACGAUUCCAAUAGUUUGUUGUAUCUGCAAAUGAACAAUCUGAAGCCAGAAGACACAGCAGUUUAUUACUGUGCAAGAGACACAGUGAGAGGAAGUGAAUCUGAAACCAAGCAAAAACUUGUUUCUGUUCCAGGAAUUGCUGUGCUCUGCAACCUUUGCUUGGUCUUCAAAGGGUAG